This 60-nucleotide transfer RNA is filed under the name Hyalella cajasi. RNAcentral's name for it is "tRNA-Thr". The record is from RNAcentral. Lineage: Eukaryota; Metazoa; Arthropoda; Malacostraca; Amphipoda; Hyalellidae.
GCUCAUGUAGUUUAACUAAAACAAUAGUUUUGUAAACUAUAAUUGACCUGUCUAUAAGCG